This 120-nucleotide transfer RNA is filed under the name Ixodes scapularis (black-legged tick). It matches the Rfam family "tRNA". Rfam says of the family: Transfer RNA (tRNA) molecules are approximately 80 nucleotides in length. Their secondary structure includes four short double-helical elements and three loops (D, anti-codon, and T loops). The record is from Rfam by way of RNAcentral. Lineage: Eukaryota; Metazoa; Arthropoda; Arachnida; Ixodida; Ixodidae.
GUCAGGAUGGCCGAGUGGUCUAAGGCGCCAGACUCAAGGAUUUGCUUUCCUUGCCCCUAAUAAGGGUUCGAGAUUUCUGGUCCACAAUUGUGGGCGUGGGUUCGAACCCCACUCCUGACA